RNAcentral lists this long non-coding RNA (435 nucleotides) under Dromaius novaehollandiae (emu). RNAcentral's name for it is "lncRNA (ENSDNVG00000006269.1)". Lineage: Eukaryota; Metazoa; Chordata; Aves; Casuariiformes; Dromaiidae. The record is from RNAcentral.
CCAAAGAAGGAAAGAGGAUUCCAAUGCAGGCUUUCAGGACCUUUAUAUGAUAUCUGGCAUUUGAGUGCCACUCCUGACUUCCUGCAGUGAUUAGCCCCCACCAGCAGCUAUCACAAGGUAGUCUCCUGCAGGGCCUGCUGAAGACGGCAAGGAGCUUAUCAACAGAGGUGUAUUUUUCUUUGUCUUGCUUCCAGAGCAAGCGGUUCAGGAGACGGUAGACACAGAUCUCUAUGUGAGAAGAAGACAGCGCCCGACUGCUUCCAGGAGAUACCAUGAGGGUCACCGGCCUGAACCAAGCAGUCAGCCUGAGACAGAUAACACUUAGAGCGGUUGCUGCUCCAGUUUCCACUGUGUGUUGUGGCAGCUUGCAGCAUUAGUGGUAUCGCAGCCUUCCUGGAGGAGACCUGGAGUCAACCAAGCGGUUUGGUGGGGUGG